Molecule: transfer RNA, 72 nt
Filed under: Karlodinium veneficum
Lineage: Eukaryota; Dinophyceae; Gymnodiniales; Kareniaceae
Description: tRNA-Glu
Rfam family: tRNA
About the family: Transfer RNA (tRNA) molecules are approximately 80 nucleotides in length. Their secondary structure includes four short double-helical elements and three loops (D, anti-codon, and T loops).
Source: RNAcentral
GCCCUCAUCGUUUAAUGGUUAAGACAGUUCCCUUUCAUGGAAAAAACGAGGAUUCGAAUUCCUCUAAGGGUG